UUUAUAAUACGGUAUUAAUUACUAAGGGAGGCUAGGGAUAGCAAGCCAGUAGUUAAUAUUAGGCCCUUUUCGCCGAGGGAUCGGGUUAAGGGGAGGCUAAGAAAGUAGCAUAACAAUUAAUCAAACUAAUAUUCAAGGGUAGUAUGUAAGAGAGAGUGGAAUAAAUGAAAUUGUAAACCCCCAACAACAUCCACUCAUCCAUUGUUUUCCUUU
Molecule: long non-coding RNA, 213 nt
Filed under: Vigna radiata
Lineage: Eukaryota; Viridiplantae; Streptophyta; Magnoliopsida; Fabales; Fabaceae
Description: long non-coding RNA (VRAD_LNC009783)
Source: RNAcentral